UACAGAGGUCCCCAAGCGUUGUUCGGAUUCACUGGGCGUAAAGAGUUCGUAGGCGGUUUGUCGCGUCGUUUGUGAAAACCCGGGGCUCAACUUCGGGCUUGCAGGCGAUACGGGCAGACUUGAGUGUUUCAGGGGAGACUGGAAUUCCUGGUGUAGCGGUGAAAUGCGCAGAUAUCAGGAGGAACACCGGUGGCGAAGGCGGGUCUCUGGGAAACAACUGACGCUGAGGAACGAAAGCGUGGGUAGCAAACAGGAUUAGAUACCCCGGUAGU
Molecule: ribosomal RNA, 272 nt
Filed under: uncultured bacterium
Lineage: Bacteria
Description: partial 16S ribosomal RNA
Rfam family: Bacterial small subunit ribosomal RNA
Source: RNAcentral